AUGACCAAGAGGCAGACAAUGGAGGCGCUAGACAAAAGCAUGCGGGACAUAAUGGACAGGCCAGAACUUCCAUUCGGAGGAAAAACAGUCGUAUUUGGAGGGGAUUUUAGGCAAGUGCUACCUGUUGUCCGAAAGGGAACAAGAGCCCAGAUAGUAGAUUCAUCACUACGCAAGUCUGUCCUAUGGAAUUCAAUGCGUCAACUGAAGCUCGUGCGCAACAUGAGGGCUCAGAAUGACCCGUGGUUCGCAGAAUACCUACUACACAUUGGAAACGGAACCGAGGAGACAAAUGAUGAUGGUGAAAUACAACUACCUACAAGUAUAUGUGUGCCAAAUAAGACGGAUGACAAUAGCCUUGAUAGACUCAUCGACAAUGUCUACAAAACGUGCUUCCCUAAAAGAUCCAAAGUACAUCACAUCAAGAGCAAUUCUAUCAACAGGGAAUGA
Molecule: ribosomal RNA, 447 nt
Filed under: Triticum aestivum (bread wheat)
Lineage: Eukaryota; Viridiplantae; Streptophyta; Magnoliopsida; Poales; Poaceae
Description: partial small subunit ribosomal RNA
Source: RNAcentral